CCUACGGGAGGCUGCAGUGGGGAAUAUUGGACAAUGGGGGCAACCCUGAUCCAGCCAUGCCGCGUGUGUGAAGAAGGCCCUCGGGUUGUAAAGCACUUUCAGUGAGGAAGAACGCCUGGUGGUUAAUACCCAUCAGGAAAGACAUCACUCACAGAAGAAGCACCGGCUAACUCCGUGCCAGCAGCCGCGGUAAUACGGAGGGUGCGAGCGUUAAUCGGAAUUACUGGGCGUAAAGCGCGCGUAGGUGGCUUGAUAAGCCGGUUGUGAAAGCCCCGGGCUCAACCUGGGAACGGCAUCCGGAACUGUCAAGCUAGAGUGCAGGAGAGGAAGGUAGAAUUCCCGGUGUAGCGGUGAAAUGCGUAGAGAUCGGGAGGAAUACCAGUGGCGAAGGCGGCCUUCUGGACUGACACUGACACUGAGGUGCGAAAGCGUGGGUAACAAACAGGAUUAGAUACCCCGGUAGUC
Molecule: ribosomal RNA, 465 nt
Filed under: Vreelandella stevensii
Lineage: Bacteria; Pseudomonadati; Pseudomonadota; Gammaproteobacteria; Oceanospirillales; Halomonadaceae
Description: partial 16S ribosomal RNA
Rfam family: Bacterial small subunit ribosomal RNA
Source: RNAcentral